Molecule: ribosomal RNA, 482 nt
Filed under: uncultured bacterium
Lineage: Bacteria
Description: bacterial SSU rRNA
Rfam family: Bacterial small subunit ribosomal RNA
Source: RNAcentral
GGACGAACGCUGGCGGCGUGCCUAACACAUGCAAGUCGAACGGGACUUAAUGGAAUGCGGCUUCGGCCAAAGGAAGUUAAGUUUAGUGGCGAACGGGUGAGUAACGCGUGAGGAACCUGCCUUUCAGUGGGGACAACAGUUGGAAACGACUGCUAAUACCGCAUGAAGCAUUCGGGUCGCAUGGCCUGAAUGCCAAAGAUUUUAUCGCUGAAAGAUGGCCUCGCGUCUGAUUAGCUAGUUGGUGAGGUAACGGCCCACCAUGGCGACGAUCAGUAGCCGGUCUGAGAGGAUGAACGGCCACAUUGGGACUGAGAUACGGCCCAGACUCCUACGGGAGGCAGCAGUGGGGAAUAUUGGGCAAUGGGGGAAACCCUGACCCAGCAACGCCGCGUGAAGGAAGAAGGCCCUCGGGUUGUAAACUUCUUUUAGCAGGGACGAAGAACGUGACGGUACCUGCAGAAAAAGCAACGGCUAACUACGUG